GUCGGGACGCAGGCCGUUUACUUUGAAAAAAUUAGAGUGUUCAAAGCAGGCCUACGCUUGAAUACAUUAGCAUGGAAUAAUGGAAUAGGACUUUGGUGCCAUUCUGUUGGUUUAUGGAACCGAAGUAAUGAUUAAUAGGGACAGUUGGGGCCGUUUAUAUUUCGUUGUCAGAGGUGAAAUUCUUGGAUUUACGAAAGAUAAACUUCUGCGAAAGCAUUCGGCAAGGAUGUUUUCAUUGAUCAAGAACGAAAGUUAGGGGAUCGAAGACGAUCAGAUACCGUCGUAGUCUUAACCAUAAACUAUGCCGACUAGGGAUCAGUGGAUGUCAAUUUGCGACUCCAUUGGCACCUUGUGAGAAAUCAAAGUUUUUGGGUUCCGGGGGGAGUAUGGUCGCAAGGCUGAAACUUAAAGGAAUUGACGGAAGGGCACCACCAGGAGUGGAGCCUGCGGCUUAAUUUGACUCAACACGGGGAAACUCACCAGGUCCAGACA
Molecule: ribosomal RNA, 492 nt
Filed under: Proteomonas sp. RCC6266
Lineage: Eukaryota; Cryptophyceae; Pyrenomonadales; Geminigeraceae
Description: SSU rRNA
Rfam family: Eukaryotic small subunit ribosomal RNA
Source: RNAcentral